UACGUAGGGUGCAAGCGUUGUCCGGAAUUAUUGGGCGUAAAAGAGCUCGUAGGCGGUUCGUCGCGUCGGCUGUGAAAAACCUGAGGCUCAACCUCAGGCCUGCAGUCGAUACGGGCGGACUUGAGUACUGCAGGGGGAGACUGGAAUUCCUGGUGUAGCGGUGAAAUGCGCAGAUAUCAGGAGGAACACCGGUGGCGAAGGCGGCCUUCUGGACAGUGACUGACGCUGAGAUGCGAAAGCGUGGGGAGCAAACAGG
This 256-nucleotide ribosomal RNA is filed under the name uncultured bacterium. RNAcentral's name for it is "partial 16S ribosomal RNA". It matches the Rfam family "Bacterial small subunit ribosomal RNA", at positions 524 to 776 of the family's 1533-position model. The record is from RNAcentral.